CAAGACCCUCCGAUUAAGUCAACUUAAACACAUCCUACAGUCUAUAUUACGCUAAUGAUGUAUCAACCAGAUCGACGUCUCAGAUGAAAAGUUCUGCCCAGCAGACGUCGUGGUCUGCCAAUCCUCUUCACGCUUCGUGUCCCCCGCCCGCAACUCGCGGAUAGAUUCCGCCCGUCUCCAUCGUUCCCCACCCCUCCCUCCUGGCCUCCUCUCUCCUCCUCGCCGCCGCUACAGGAGGCCGCCGGGCGAAGCUCGACCUGCGUCGGCGGCGCCGGGUUCGCUCUCCCUCGAGCGGCGUCAGCGACGCGGGAUGCGGCAGGCUCGGCCUGCGUCGGCGGCGCCGGUGUCCCUCUCCUCCGUCGAGCGGUGGCGGCGUGAGGCGCAUCAGGAUCGACCUGCGUCGGCGGCGGCGGCGGCGGGAUCACUCUCCUCCGUCGAGUAGCGGCGGCAGUGCGGGACGCAGCGGGCGGCGCAUCGCGGUAAACUAGCUCCUUCCCGUACAACCACUCCGUCCCCGUGCUCUAUUCUGCCCGACCCGACUAGGAUUCUGCCCGUCCCCGUGCUCUAUCCGCGCCUCACAUCCCCCAGCCUCCUCUCCAUGUGGCCCUGCGAUGCUGCCGCCUCGCUGUCCCCAUCGCUCCCCGUGCCGGUUGCAGCCUCCCCAACCCUCCUCUCCAUUCACCAGCUUCGCACGGUCUCCACGGCUGCUACAACAAUGUUCAUAUCCUAGAUUGACGCCGCAUGGGUAGCAGCUGGACUCGUCAUCAACCAGAACCAGGUGAUUAUGUGGAGCUUGUGAAGGAAAAAGGCAAACCAACAAGCUUGGGCAAUCGUCUAUUGGCGACAACCUGGUAUAGAUGACCUACCUAUUGUUAAUUUUCCAACUCUCACUUUGUAGGUCUGCAAUUGUAUCUCCUGUACUAAACAAGAGAGCAUUUAAAUUUGACGCCUACAAAUUUGUGGCUUGCUGCAUAGGGGUUUUCCAUAUCUACAUUCUAAUAUUCUCCAUAUUUUUUUAUUAACGUUCAUAUCAAAUGUUUGUGGUAUGUAGGUUCAAUAGUUGACAAAACUGAAUCUCUCUUACCAGCUAUGACUUCAUGGUCAAUAUAUAUACAUGUGCAACAUCCAAAAAGAGAGAUGUCAUCAAACUUCUCAUUAACUUUUUCCGGUUCUACUUUCUCCUUUACUGUUGAAAGCAUAUGGAGUGCUAUCAAUCAAUAUGAACAACUUCCUGCCGCCUCUCUUCUGCUGGAUUGCUUUUUUUUCUGAAAAUAUUUGGUAACUCAAUAUUUUUCUCUUAAUUCAUGAGAUUAUAUAGUGCCAAGAUUUUACUGGUUUCAUCUUGCGUGUUUGUGCCAUCAUGAGUUUGUUCUUUCUGCGGGAAAUGGCUAUAUGACUUCAGAUCUUGAUAAUUAAUUUCGGAACUUCGAAAAUUCUGGAGAUGAAGAAUGUGUCAGUAACCUAAAACACAUAUUGAAGUAUCAUUCACCGAGUAGUGCUCAGAUGGUAACUUGGUGAGUUAUACUGCAUAUCAGUGCAAUCACAUUUCUGUACUUUCCCUCCAAUAUGGAGGUACGUACAAGGCUGUAAAUAUUAGUAGCACAUCUUCUCACAUAAGUUACCAAAGUCAUGUCCUUCUAUUUUUACCCUUCUCAUGCUCAUAGAGCUUGGAAAAGGGUUGCUAGCUUUGGUAGCUUGAUUUUGGUCCGGGGGUACAGAUUUACCGUGGGAACGAGGAACAACAAUGCUACGUAAAUUAGAAAACAUGUAUUCUUCUAUGAACUAUAUAAUAAUUCUGAGCCUGUAUGCAUAUCAGUUUUGAGAUUCCAGUUUCUACUAUCGUGGAUGCUACCAGUUACAGUUGACAAGAAUUUAUUAUACCUUUUUAGGAUGUAAAUUCGAAACCCGUAAUUUGCAUUCCUGAUCUUUUUUAUUAUUCUUGUUGUGAUGAACAUUUUAAGGGUGUCAGUGUUGAUAUGUGCCAUAAAACUCGCAGGUUUCUUUUAAGCUCUUUCAUUAAUGAUGUUUGCUCCUCCUUUGUACUUCUAAUUAUUAUGGCAGGAAGUCUCACUACUACACAAUUCAUGCCUCUGCCAAAUAUUCUAAUCAUUUGUAUUUUUGAAGUUGUAGAUGAUUAGAUUUUCAGCUAAUUUUCUGUUGUAGCAUACACAUUGUGGCAAGCUAACACUGAAAAAGUAGAAAUUGGACGCCUCAAGUUCCUGAAGUUUUCAUGGCAAAAAAGAGAAAAUACUAGACUUAAUGAGCGCGGACAAUGGAAUUCUUGAUUUUUAUGCGUGCCAUUCAAAAGAUGUGACAUAUUUGUAAGCCUUGGAGCUUGUACAUUGGCAUGAGACCACAUUCAAGACCAGAGUUAGUUUUUUUAGGGAACGAUCAGAGAGUUAGUGAGGAUGAGGGAACCUGCUUUUGUUAGAGUUGUUCAUGGAUGAUGGGAGAUGCGGUUUUGGGCCUCCCAUAUGUUUGUUUGCGCCUGAAUAUGAGUGUACUUCCUUCAAGACGUAAUACAAAAAAUACUUGUUUUUGCAAUGUAAUGUGGAUAUACAUGAUUCUAUUGGGGUGUGCAUACUUAAGGAUAUCAUGAAUGGAAUAUUGUACUUUUUUGCGAUGAAAUGAAACAUUGUACUUGUAUAAUCAAUUUUGUCCACAUGAAUAUAAUUUUAUCUGAUGCUUCAGAUGAUUACAGCUCAUUCAGGCUAUUAGAUUUUUGGAUGCCCAAUCAUUUGUUACAACAAUUAGAUGUUUUCUAUGCAUUGCAAUAUGCAACUAGGAAGGUUUGUAAAUCUUAUCAAAGUAUUUUCUAGAAAUUUACAUGUGAUGUUUUUUGUUGGCUCAUAUGAAUGUAUUUUUUUCUAUUGUGCUAUGGUGCGUUGCACGUGCACACCUACUAGUACUACAAAAUAGCCCUGUCCUACCCCCAAACCACGUUCCCCACCUCUUCCCACUCUCCCCGAUUCCCAGCCGCAGCCAUCCCCUCCGCUGUGCGCCUCCCCCUUCCUCCCAACGACCGGCGCACCUCCCCACGGCUGGGUCCAGGUCGGCUCCCACGCGCCGCCGCUGCCAUCUUCCCCGGUGCGCCACGCCCACUCCCCAGAUUCCUCCGCCGCUGCCUCCCGCCCCUGGACCACGGCCCGGCGCGCUUCCGCCGCCGCCUACCCGGCCCAGACGCGUAUCUGUCGCCGCCCAUCCCUGCCCCGAUGCGCAUCCGCCGCCGCCCAUCCCUGCCCCGAUGCGCCUCCACCACCGCCCACCCCGGCCCCGACGCACCUCCAUCCCCCGUCCCCCGGUCUUCACGCGCCUCCACCUGCCUUCCCUUUGAUGCGUCGCGACGGCGACGGCCACCACCCUCCUCGCCCCCACCACUCCGCGUGGUUCACCUCCACCAACCCAAAAAUCGCCCUGCCUCUCGACACCUGCACGCAGAGACGCUGCCCCCGCUGCCGAACCCCUGCCUCCGCUUGGCUCUGUCCUCUGCAGCACACCACGUCUCCCCCGCCGUCCACCUGCCUUGUUCAUGUCCCCAGGUGACCUUGUGUCCAAACGCGUACUGACCUUCCUCCUCCUCCUGCUUCCUCCUUCCCUCUUGGUUGAUUGAACUCUAUCACAUGGAGCAGUAGAAGCCCUCCACUGAUCCGUCCGGCGCUGUCACCUCUGCCCGAGCUCUUAGUGACGUGCCCGAGGCCAUAAUUUCCAGUCCAGAUCACCUACAGUGUUCUGGGUUUCAGAUAUUUGGUUCACGUCGGACGUCGACGGCGAUACGUGCAGAAAUCUUCUAGUAUCUCUUUUGCCUCCCCUUUUCCCUCUUCCAUUUUGUUGUUUGGAAAUCUCUGGUAGGCCUUUGAUUCAAAAAUACUUCGGCUAUUAUUUGUACGAUAUAUAUGCAUAGGAAUUUUGUUCUCCAUCUUGCUUAUUGGUACAUGUGUGAUGUUUUUCCUGUUAUGAACAUAUUGGUUUGUGCGAAGUUCAUGUACGAUUACCCAAGGAGUUCAACAACCACUCAUGACGAAAGAAGUAUAGGUGAGCAACUCCCAGGUUGUUCAAGUUUGCCGCGUCAGGCUGUGCAAUUUCGCUUGUGUGAACAAAGGGGGAGCAGCUUCUUCUUAACUGUUGAUUCUGCACUUGUAUGGUGCAUUUUGUCUCAGCUUUUAGGUGAAUUCUUUGCUUCUCUUACAUUGUGUUCAACAGGGUACAUAAGAAAAUGGAGCUUUUUUCGAGUUGUUUUUUCUGUAAUACAUGUGAAGACUUCGGUAUGAACAGAUGGAGCUUUUUUCAUAGUGAAAAA
This is a long non-coding RNA of Aegilops tauschii subsp. strangulata, 4297 nucleotides long. RefSeq lists it as uncharacterized. NCBI's taxonomy places the organism in Eukaryota, Viridiplantae, Streptophyta, Magnoliopsida, Poales, Poaceae. The record is from RefSeq and is a predicted model, not a curated record.